CUUGGAUCUGGCUAACCCAUAAUCUUAUUGCUUUCAUUAUCCCAUUAAUUUCUCCUGACAUUCAUGCAGCAGACCCGUGUCAGCUGAGGAGUGCUGGACCUCAGUCUCCCAUCUCAGCUGACAACUUUCUUACACCCUUGCAGUGAUAGUGUUUGUGUGUUUGUUUUUAUGUGUUUGUUUGUUUUUGUUUUGUUUUUGCUUUCCCUCCUACAGUCAGCUGAGGGGUGUGCUCUUGAUAACAGUGGUUGUGUUUUCGUUUACCAGCAGUGGAAAUAAUCCUGUCGUGGUCUGGGCCUGGCUGCAAUUGCAUGCAUGCUGAUAGGAAAAUAUUUUCUAUUGGAUUUAACUGUAAGCGCUCUGGAUAUUAUUUUUUUCCAACCUUCUACCUCCCAAGAAUGUUACUUGUAUAUUUGUAUUUUCUAUGCUAAUAUACCACAGCAAGGUUCCAGCUGCUCAGACAAUUUGUGAGUACAGCCAGUACUGGAGUUUUUACCAAGAGAGGCAAAACUGAAUUCAUAGCAGUGAGAAACCAACCCUCUCAUAUUAGAGCUUCACUAACCAUGCAGUCUAAUGACUAGUGAUUGAGGGCAGGAAUUAAGUAGUCUGAGUGCCAGCUUGGUACCCAGCACCAGGGUUCCUGGUUAGUAGUAAUAUGUGGCCAGUAGCUUCAGCUGGCCACCUCACAAAACCUGGUGGCCCCUUGAGAAGGCAGUUGAAAUAGUGCCAAGCAUUCUGAAAUGAGUGGGUAGGAUAACAUGGGCUUCAUAUCUAAAAAGCAUAGAGUCCUCUUCGUCUUAACCAACCUACCAUUAAUGGUAGCCAUUUCAGCUGGGAGCACCUCUCCUAAACUGUCCAAAAAUUAAAAUAGUUAAACUGAUUGGACAAUUGUCUGCAUAAAGGUUCAUUUAAAAGAAAGAAACCUUAAAGUAUGUUUAUUUCAUAAUUUGAUAUUUAUUAUAACAUGAAGAUAGAAACAAUGCUUCCAUUGUGCUAAAUUAAAUAUUUUGUUUGAUACAAAGUGACAUUUUGGUAAUGAGUUUUUUUCUUGGAAAAUUCAGAAUGUUUUAAAGCAAAGAUUUGAAGGAAACACAUUUCUGAAUCACUUUUCUGUGAAGUAAGAGUCCUUUACACCUGUUUGUGACAUGAUUGGUUUUAUAUUUGCUUUAGCAUCUGGAAUCUCCAAUUAUAGAUCCAAACUUCAUGGUGUUUGUAUCA
Long non-coding RNA from Oxyura jamaicensis (ruddy duck), 1215 nucleotides. RefSeq lists it as uncharacterized. NCBI's taxonomy places the organism in Eukaryota, Metazoa, Chordata, Aves, Anseriformes, Anatidae. The transcript has 3 exons. The record is from RefSeq and is a predicted model, not a curated record.